UGGGGAAUUUUGGACAAUGGGCGCAAGCCUGAUCCAGCCAUGCCGCGUGCGGGAAGAAGGCCUUCGGGUUGUAAACCGCUUUUGUCAGGGAAGAAAUCUUCUGAGUUAAUACCUCGGGAGGAUGACGGUACCUGAAGAAUAAGCACCGGCUAACUACGUGCCAGCAGCCGCGGUAAUACGUAGGGUGCAAGCGUUAAUCGGAAUUACUGGGCGUAAAGCGUGCGCAGGCGGUUUUGUAAGACAGAGGUGAAAUCCCCGGGCUCAACCUGGGAACUGCCUUUGUGACUGCAAGGCUUGAGUGCGGCAGAGGGGGGAUGGAAUUCCGCGUGUAGCAGUGAAAUGCGUAGAUAUGCGGAGGAACACCGAUGGCGAAGGCCAAUCCCCUGGGCCUGCACUGACGCUCAUGCACGAAAGCGU
Molecule: ribosomal RNA, 417 nt
Filed under: uncultured bacterium
Lineage: Bacteria
Description: partial 16S ribosomal RNA
Rfam family: Bacterial small subunit ribosomal RNA
Source: RNAcentral